GCCGUUAGAUUUAAGUGAGUAAGGAGAAAGAAGGUUUAGAAUAAUUCAGAUAGUCUGUUUAAAUAAUGUUGUUUUUUGAGUACAAUUUUAUGGGUAGAUAGAUGGGAGCUUCUCAGCAGGGAGCAAUUUUUUGUGUGGAUUAUUAAAAAAGAGAUGGUGAAUUAUUACAGCAAAUUCAAGGCAGCUGGCAUGUCAUUCUUCAGUUUAGGUUAAUUAAAUCGGUUGU
RNAcentral lists this long non-coding RNA (226 nucleotides) under Sorghum bicolor (sorghum). Its description in RNAcentral is "long non-coding RNA (SBIC_LNC008422)". Lineage: Eukaryota; Viridiplantae; Streptophyta; Magnoliopsida; Poales; Poaceae. The record is from RNAcentral.